GACGAACGCUGGCGGCGUGCUUAACACAUGCAAGUCGAACGAUGAAGCCCAGCUUGCUGGGUGGAAGAGUGGCGAACGGGUGAGUAACACGUGAGUAACCUGCCCUGAACUCUGGGAUAAGCACUGGAAACGGUGUCUAAUACUGGAUACGACCUAUCACCGCAUGGUGUGUGGGUGGAAAGAUUUAUCGGUUCUGGAUGGACUCGCGGCCUAUCAGCUAGAUGGUGAGGUAAUGGCCCACCAUGGCGACGACGGGUAGCCGGCCUGAGAGGGUGACCGGCCACACUGGGACUGAGACACGGCCCAGACUCCUACGGGAGGCAGCAGUGGGGAAUAUUGCACAAUGGGCGCAAGCCUGAUGCAGCAACGCCGCGUGAGGGAUGACGGCCUUCGGGUUGUAAACCUCUUUUAGUAGGGAAGAAGCGAAAGUGACGGUACCUGCAGAAAAAGCACCGGCUAACUACGUG
This 467-nucleotide ribosomal RNA is filed under the name uncultured bacterium. RNAcentral's name for it is "partial 16S ribosomal RNA". It matches the Rfam family "Bacterial small subunit ribosomal RNA", at positions 28 to 507 of the family's 1533-position model. The record is from RNAcentral.